This is a long non-coding RNA of Nannospalax galili (Upper Galilee mountains blind mole rat), 1064 nucleotides long. RefSeq lists it as uncharacterized. Lineage: Eukaryota; Metazoa; Chordata; Mammalia; Rodentia; Spalacidae. The transcript is spliced from 2 exons. The record is from RefSeq and is a predicted model, not a curated record.
UGGGUGCACUUACAUACACGCAGGCAAAACACACAAAAAAAUAGAUUUUAAAUGUUUUUAUUGCAUCUAUUUUGUGUAUGUGGAGGUCAAAGGACAACUUGCGGAGUUCUCUCCUUUUACCGUGUGGGUCCUAGGUUGUCACUGCCUUUGCCCACUGACAGCCUGCAAAUUAGCAUUUUUAAAAAGAAAAUUGCAUUUUGGUCUUCAGACUUUGGCUCAAAACUUUGGAAAGGAAAGUCUCUAGCCUGUCCUCCCCCAUCCCCGAUACAGGUGAGCAAAUUCAAGCUUGCUGGGUGGUGAUAAUGAAGACUGCCCAGCUGCUGCAGUGGGAGACACAGAGGGCUGAGAAGGCUGAAGGGGUUGUUGUGCUGCUUCUGUGAGUUCGCAGCCUGGCCUUCGGGAGUUUGGAGCUGCUACUGUCCGAGCCCACAGUCGGGGAAAUGCUGAAUGCUCAGCAGAAAAGAGGAAGAUGUCUAACCAGUACCUCUCAUUCCUCCAUGGUUUCUGCUGUUCUUCCUGGCUGUGAGUUCCCAGUGCCAGCUGAUGCUAUGUGGAAUCAACAGGCCUGCCUUCACGUUCCUGCGUGGGUUCCUGCCCUGACUUCCAUUGGUAAUGGACAGUGACCUUCUAGUGUGAGCCAGAUAAAUCCUUUCUCCCCUAAGUUGUUGUUUGGUCAGUGUUUUACCAUAGCAACAGAAAGGAAACUAGAACUGCCCCCUCCACACUCAGAGCUCCCAUCUGUACCCCUAAAACAAGUCAUUUGACAGUUUCGAAUGAGAAUUUGGUCAAAACCCAAAGUCCCCCACCAACACGUUCUAGUCAAUAUCCUUUGACGGGUUAGAGAUUCAUUAUAUCUUGGGACAUUGGCAACUGCUUUGCACACACAUAUGCUUUGGGCUAAAGUUCACAAUUUCUCGUUGCAUUCUGUCAUACCUUGUUCAUUUUUCUGCCAACAGUCUGGGCUCCACAUUGUUUAUAGUAUAAAAUAUGAGAAAAAUGUUGACAAACAAGAUUGGCCCGUACAAACUAAGUAUUUGGCAAUAAAUUUAAAUUGUUUUGUGUCA